Molecule: ribosomal RNA, 465 nt
Filed under: uncultured bacterium
Lineage: Bacteria
Description: partial 16S ribosomal RNA
Rfam family: Bacterial small subunit ribosomal RNA
Source: RNAcentral
GACGAACGCUGGCGGCGUGCUUAACACAUGCAAGUCGAACGGAAAGGCCCCUUUGGGGGUCCUCGAGUGGCGAACGGGUGAGUAACACGUGAGUAACCUGCCCUUGACUUCGGGAUAACUUCAGGAAACUGGGGCUAAUACCGGAUAGGAAUCCUUGCUGCAUGGUGGGGGUUGGAAAGCUUCGGCGGUUUUGGAUGGACUGGCGGCUUAUCAGCUUGUUGGUGGGGUAGUGGCUUACCAAGGCUUUGACGGGUAGCCGGCCUGAGAGGGCGACCGGCCACAUUGGGACUGAGAUACGGCCCAGACUCCUACGGGAGGCAGCAGUGGGGAAUAUUGCACAAUGGGCGGAAGCCUGAUGCAGCAACGCCGCGUGCGGGAUGACGGCCUUCGGGUUGUAAACCGCUUUCAGCAGGGGCGAAGCUUGUGGUGACGGUACCUGCAGAAGAAGCACCGGCUAACUACGUG